Molecule: ribosomal RNA, 192 nt
Filed under: uncultured bacterium
Lineage: Bacteria
Description: partial 16S ribosomal RNA
Rfam family: Bacterial small subunit ribosomal RNA
Source: RNAcentral
ACUCCUACGGGAGGCAGCAGUCGGGAAUUUUGCGCAAUGGACGAAAGUCUGACGCAGCAACGCCGCGUGAGGGAUGACGGCCUUCUGGGUUGUAAACCUCUUUAGUCAGGGACGAUAAUGACGGUACCUGACGAAUAAGCCACGGCUAACUACGUGCCAGCAGCCGCGGUAAGUGCCAGCAGCCGCGGUAAU